Molecule: transfer RNA, 75 nt
Filed under: Candidatus Karelsulcia muelleri
Lineage: Bacteria; Pseudomonadati; Bacteroidota; Flavobacteriia; Flavobacteriales
Also listed under: 2 other names
Description: tRNA-Val
Rfam family: tRNA
About the family: Transfer RNA (tRNA) molecules are approximately 80 nucleotides in length. Their secondary structure includes four short double-helical elements and three loops (D, anti-codon, and T loops).
Source: RNAcentral
GGACAUUUAGCUCAGUUUGGUAAGAGCGUUAUCUUGACAGGGUAAAGGUCAUUGGUUCAAAUCCAAUAAUGUCCA